CUUUUAGGUAUAUGACGCUAAAAACUAAACCGACGAAAAAAGUAGGAAAUUUAAAAAUUUCUGUUUCAUUUUGCGUCUGUUAUUAAAACUCGUGUAUUGUAUUAGCGAGCUUUUAAAAACGACGCAAAAUACAAUAAUAAAAGUUAAUAACCGACGCAAAAAACAAAAGUGAAAUCCCUCAAACUAAAAAAUGCAAAAUCCUCGACCCUCUCUCUUCAUAUGAUUUUCUUCAGCCGCAUCUCCUCUUCAACCCUCUCCCUAAACGCAAAACCCUUACGAUUAUCUUCAGCCGCAUCUCCUCUUCAGACGACGGUGAGAAUUCACCCUAACCACCUCCUCUUCAGUCGAUUGGACGGUGGUCUGUGGUCUCUCUUCUCCCGUGAGUUCCUUCGUACAGCCUCCGGUGGUUUCUGUGUUCCUUCCCUCAAAGCCUCUAAUGGUCAAAACCUCCCGUGAGCUCCUUCAGACGAUUCGACGGUGGUGAGGCAGUCAUUGGUGGUGGAGAAAAAAAGCUGCAGAAGAAGAACCCAGUGGCCCACGAUGGGAAAAAUCGCAGAGCUCUUGGUGAUAUUGGGAAUAUGGUACCUGCUGCUAGAGGAGGAGUUGAAGGCAAACCUAAUCACCCCAUGACAAGGUUUUUCUCUCUUUCUCUCUGUACAACAAUAUGUGUUUGGUUUCUUAAUGUGUUGUUUGUCUUUGCUAAGUUUUUAUUUAUAUUUUCUUCAAGAGUUUUCAUGUUUAAUUAUUUGCUAACGCUGAAGCCGCUAGAGCUGCUGAGAAGAACAAGGUUAGUAUUUUGAUAAAAAAUUUAAUUUUUAUAACAACUUUCUAGAGUUCUGGUAAUUGAUUUGGUAUGCUCUUUUCAAACUAUGCUAUGCAGAAACAGAUGGUGGUUCCUGAUGAUGGGAGAAGAAUUGAGGCACUAGAGGCCAACAAAAUUAAUAAGAUCGUUAAUGUUAAGCCUAAGCCCAUAGAGGCGAUUGAUCUAUCCUCAAACACAGAGAAAGUCAAGAAGAAGCCUGAGAAGCCUUUGAACAACAUGGAAAAAGAAGUAGAAGUUGGGGGAGGGGCCUUAAGAAAGAAAGCACCAACACUUACUCCAGUUCUUACUACUAGAAGCAAGGCGCAGAUAGUUGACAUACAUGCAACAGAUGUAGACAACAAGCUGGAAAGACAAAUCGAUACGGUGUUUUCAUACACACGAUUAUGCAAGGCAUUUUGUGAGUGCUUGUACUCAUAUACUUGGGCUAGAGGGUACACCUGAAGGAGUAGAGGACCAAGGAAAGCUUACUCGAGUUGCAGUGGUAGAACUACAGUUUCCUAUUGGCAUAAACUCUGACCGGUUUGUUCGAGCUUUGAAAAUUCCUGAAGUCCAGGAACACAUGAAAGAACUGAAAGAAAGAUUUGCUGGCAGGAAGAUCAAAAGCUUACAAGACAAGUUCAUGAGAUUGUGGGACACAUUAAUGGGAGAUUCGAAACUCUUACUGCUGUUCCCAUACACCAUCUGGUUUGUCUUUUUUAUUUUUUUUUUAUAUAUAUAUAUUAAAAAUUAGAACUACUUUAAAGUGAUAUUACUUGUAAUAUUUAACAUAAGCUUUUGGUAAAUUGCUUGAGAAGGUUUCAAGUGAUCUUCUUUGUUCUGUUUUGACUAUCUUGAGACAUUUUUGUUUAAAGAAGAAUGAAACGUCUGAAUUCAGGUCUA
This is an RNA transcript of Cannabis sativa, 1702 nucleotides long. RefSeq lists it as uncharacterized. The transcript has 6 exons. The record is from RefSeq and is a predicted model, not a curated record. Lineage: Eukaryota; Viridiplantae; Streptophyta; Magnoliopsida; Rosales; Cannabaceae.